This 201-nucleotide unclassified non-coding RNA is filed under the name uncultured fungus. Its description in RNAcentral is "sequence contains ITS1, 5.8S rRNA gene". Lineage: Eukaryota; Fungi. The record is from RNAcentral.
ACGAGUUAGGGUUCUUUUCGAGCCCGACCUCCCAAUCCUGUGUCUAAAACACCUUUUUGUUGCUUCGGCGGACCCGUUGUGUGCAAACACAACCGCCGGAGGGUUGGUCUCGAACCACUCUCUGGUCAGUCGUCCGUCGAUGGCCCCAUUUCAAACUCUUGAUGAAUUAUGUCGUCUAAAUCAAAAACAAAAAUUAAAACA